AGAAUAUUGCACAAUGGACGAAAGUCUGAUGCAGCGACACCGCGUGAAGGAUGAAGGCCCUAGGGUUGUAAACUUCUUUUAUUAGGGAAUAGCAAGGAAGGUACCUAAUGAAUAAGCAACGGCUAACUACGUGCCAGCAGCCGCGGUAAUACGUAGGUUGCAAACGUUGUCCGGAAUCACUGGGCGUAAAGGGUCCGUAGGCGGUUUGAUAAGUCUCAUAUGAAAGCUUCAAGCUCAACUUGGAGAUGUUGUGAGAUACUGUCAGACUAGAGACUGUUAGAGGUAAGUGGAAUUCCAGGUGUAGUGGUGAAAUGCGUAGAUAUCUGGAGGAACACCAGUGGCGAAAGCGACUUACUGGGACAGUUCUGACGCUAAGGGACGAAAGCGUGGGGAGCGAACCGGAUUAGAUACCCGGGUAGUCCACGCUGUAAACGAUGAUUGCUAGGUUUUCGGGGCAUCGACCCCUCGUGAGCCGAAGUUAACGCGUUAAGCAAUCCGCCUGAGUAGUACGGCCGCAAGGCUAAAACUCAAAGGAAUUGACGGGGGACCGCACAAGCAGCGGAGCGUGUGGUUUAAUUCGAUGGUAAGCGAAGAACCUUACCAGGGUUUGACAUGUAAGUAGUACUGAACCGAAAGGGGAUGGACCCGCAAGGGAGCUUACACAGGUGUUGCAUGGUUGUCGUCAGCUCGUGCCGUGAGGUGUUGGGUUAAGUCCCGCAACGAGCGCAACCCUCUUUGUUAGUUGCACUCUCUAACGAUACUGCCCUUAAAAGGGAGGAAGGUGGGGAUGACGUCAAAUCAUCAUGGCUCUUACACCCUGGGCUACACACACGCUACAAUGGCAAGUACAGACGGUCGCCAACCCGCGAGGGGGAGCUAAUCCGAUAAAACUUGUCUCAGUUGGGAUUGCAGGCUGAAAUUCGCCUGCAUGAACGUGGAGUUGCUAGUAAACGCAGGUCAGCACACUGCGUUGAAUACGUUCC
RNAcentral lists this ribosomal RNA (983 nucleotides) under marine metagenome. RNAcentral describes it as "bacterial SSU rRNA". It matches the Rfam family "Bacterial small subunit ribosomal RNA", at positions 358 to 1374 of the family's 1533-position model. The record is from RNAcentral.